Onychomys torridus (southern grasshopper mouse) is the source of this 823-nucleotide long non-coding RNA. RefSeq lists it as uncharacterized. The record is from RefSeq and is a predicted model, not a curated record. NCBI's taxonomy places the organism in Eukaryota, Metazoa, Chordata, Mammalia, Rodentia, Cricetidae. The transcript is spliced from 3 exons.
AGCGUGACGGCCAUUGAGUUCCUCACCGAGGGGGGGGGGGGCUGAACAACUCACCUGGGGAUCGGACUUAGGGGCUGAGCAUGACCCUGGGGGCUGGACAUCGCACCUGAGGCCUGGACCUUUCAACCUUCCCCCACCCUCCUCACCGGGCGGCCGACUUGUCACCUGUAAACUAAGCUCUGCUCCAGGGGACCGGCUCAAUGUGUUGGGAGCCCGGUAGUCGACCUUUCCGCCCGGGGCCUCAGGCAGCGGGCACACAGUGACCUAACGAUUUCUAAAUGACUUGAUUGAGAAGUAAUGUGCAUUAUCUAGAUUUUAGAGAACAACACCUGCUUGUACACAUAAUGCAGUUUCAUCUGGUCUUUGGUUGACAAGUAGGCUUCAUUUGCACCAGAUCAUUUAUGUUUCCAGCUUAAAGCCACAAUUUGAACGAAUGAUUCCGACAAUUUCCGCGGAAGCCUUGGAAUCCCAAUUGACAGGGACACCAGGAUCUUUGAAGGGUACUACCUAAUCUGAGGUGCCCUCCUUCUCCAGGCACAUUUGCUAACAGUAUGGCCUUUUUGAACUUGGCUGCUGGAAGGCGAUUAGCCAUCUGUCUGCCCAGCAGCUCCCCCCAUUCCCGUGCUACUGUUGGUCCUCAGCAGAAAGCAUCCCUAUCUGGCUGUGAGGAAGUGCCCUGUCUGGGAGGAGGAGGAUCAGGUACAUGAAGUUUAAAGCACCACAUGGCUGGCAAGAAAUCAUCAGGCAAGUCGGACGGCACACCUUUCAUUUCAGCACCCGGGAGGCAGAGGCAGGAGGAUCUCUGUCAGCCUGAGACCAACCU